This 497-nucleotide ribosomal RNA is filed under the name uncultured bacterium. RNAcentral describes it as "partial 16S ribosomal RNA". It matches the Rfam family "Bacterial small subunit ribosomal RNA", at positions 28 to 507 of the family's 1533-position model. The record is from RNAcentral.
GAUGAACGCUGGCGGCGUGCCUAAUACAUGCAAGUCGAGCGAAAGGACGAUAAGCUCGCGUCCUUGAUGUUAGCGACGGACGGGUGAGUGACACAUGGAUAAGCAACCUAUAAGACGGGGGUAACUACGGGGAGCCAGAGACAAUAACACAGAAUAUUUUGAACCGCAUGGAUCAAAAGAGCAAGGCAGCUUUGCUGACACUUAUAGAUGGAUCCGCGCUGGAUUAGCUAGUUGGUAAGGGAAAGGCUUACCGAGGCAACGAUGCGUAGCGGAACUGAGAGGGUGAUCGGCCACAUUGGGACUGAGACACGGUCCAGACUCCUACGGGAGGCAGCAGUAGGGAAUAUUGGACAAGGGGCGAAAGCCUGAUGCAGCCAUGCCGCGUGGGUGAAGAAGGCCUUCGGAUCGUAAAACCCUUUUGUUAGGGAAGAAAGGCAGCGGGAGAAUACCCCGACGUUCUGACGGUACCCAAAGAAAAAGCACCGGCUAACUACGUG